CCACUGACAUCUGCUCCUGACAGCCAGCCAUGGACAUCAUAAUGGCUGGAUGAUCAAGGGUUACUUGAAGCAGAUAGUCCUCUUUCUGACACAUUGUCAGUGGCAGUCUAAUGCUAUGUCACAAUGCCUACAUCAUUCACCCCACUUCAUCUCAUGACGGAGGCAUUUUACCAUCUCACAUCAUCACACAAAUGCUCUAACAGGAACUAUGCUCUGAACCCUCACCAUUGUGUUUGAUCUCUUCGGAACUAAAACCACAAGAGCUUAUAGAGAGAACAUCCCCUGUCCCCUUGAAAACCAGUGACUGAAGCCCAUCACUCAAGGACCUUUGCUGGGACUCUUCCGUGUGGGGAGCAUGGGGCUGGAGGAGGAAGAGCCAUCAAGGGAAUGUUUCCUGAUCAAUUGGUGUCAGUUAUUCUUCAAGAGCAAAAGGAGCAGCCUUUUCAAAUUGAGAAGAAAAAUAUAUGAAGGAAGAAUGUGUGUAAGCAUGCUGAGUUGCUUCAUUCAUGUCCAACUCUUCACAACCCCAUGGACUGUAGCCUGCCAGGCUCCUCUGUUCAUGGGAUUCUUCAGGCAAGAAUACUGAAGUGGGUUGCCAUGUCCUCCUCCAGGGUAUCCUUCCUACCC
RNAcentral lists this long non-coding RNA (627 nucleotides) under Capra hircus (goat). Its description in RNAcentral is "lncRNA (ENSCHIG00000006917.1)". Lineage: Eukaryota; Metazoa; Chordata; Mammalia; Artiodactyla; Bovidae. The record is from RNAcentral.